RNAcentral lists this ribosomal RNA (253 nucleotides) under uncultured bacterium. RNAcentral describes it as "partial 16S ribosomal RNA". It matches the Rfam family "Bacterial small subunit ribosomal RNA", at positions 524 to 776 of the family's 1533-position model. The record is from RNAcentral.
GACAGAGGGUGCAAGCGUUGUUCGGAAUUACUGGGCGUAAAGCGCGUGUAGGCGGUAAGGUGUGUCCGGUGUGAAAGCCCUCGGCUUAACCGGGGAACUGCGCUGGAAACUACCUUACUAGAGUAUGAGAGAGGGUGGCGGAAUUCCUAGUGUAGAGGUGAAAUUCGUAGAUACUAGGAGGAAUAUCUGUGGCAAAGGCGGCCACCUGGACCAUCACUGACGCUGAGACGCGAAAGCGUGGGUAGCAAACAGG